Molecule: ribosomal RNA, 215 nt
Filed under: Campeiostachys nutans
Lineage: Eukaryota; Viridiplantae; Streptophyta; Magnoliopsida; Poales; Poaceae
Description: Elymus nutans partial small subunit ribosomal RNA
Rfam family: Eukaryotic small subunit ribosomal RNA (bases 37-215)
Source: RNAcentral
GGAUCAAUUUAUUGGUCGUGCUAUUGUACGUACUGGUAUUAUUGAUUUCUACCUUCUGAUAAACCUUGAUGUCAUUAAUUUGGUGUCAUGGGGAAUCAGGACUGUUACUUUGAAAAAAUUAGAGUGUUUAAAGCAGGCUCACGCUUGAAUACAUUAGCAUGGAAUAACGAAAUAGGACGUGCGGUUCUAUUUUGUUGGUUUCUAGGAUCGACGUA